GAUGAACGCUGGCGGCGUGCCUAACACAUGCAAGUCGAACGCUCGCAAGAGAGUGGCGCACGGGUGAGUAACACGUAGCUAAUCUGCCCUCAAGACAAGGAUAACUGUAGGAAACUACUGCUAAUACUUGAUAAGCUUACGGACUGUAGAGGUCUAUAAGAAAGAUUUAUCGCCCAAGGAUGAGCCCGCGUAGGAUUAGCUAGUUGGUGAGGUAAAGGCUCACCAAGGCGACGAUCCUUAGCUGGUCUGAGAGGAUGAUCAGCCACACUGGGACUGAGACACGGCCCAGACUCCUACGGGAGGCAGCAGUGGGGGAAUAUUGGACAAUGGGCGAAAGCCUGAUCCAGCAAUGCCGCGUGAGUGAUGAAGGCCUUAGGGUUGUAAAGCUCUUUUACCCGGGAAGAUAAUGACUGUACCGGGAGAAUAAGCCCCGGCUAACUCCGUGCCAGCAGCCGCGGUAAU
Molecule: ribosomal RNA, 462 nt
Filed under: uncultured bacterium
Lineage: Bacteria
Description: bacterial SSU rRNA
Rfam family: Bacterial small subunit ribosomal RNA
Source: RNAcentral